AGAGAGAGCGCCAGUCCCUGCUGAGAGCCUGGUGUGUCAGAUGAGAUAUGGUCGACAGAGACGAGGGUGUUUGGCUUCGGUGGCCUGGAGGACUUGCAGUGCACAGCAGCAUUCAUACAGGAGACAGGUCUGCUGCUGUCCUUGGCUGGUGUUCAAGUGAUCACUGAGGACAAAACCUACACUAAGCCAAUCAGUAAAAUGUCUGACCUGGGAAAGGAUGUCCAAGUGACUGUGGAAAAAGAAGAUGAGUUGAUUGCACAGUACGUCUGUCAUCAUGAUGAGAGCUGUAUGAAUUCCUUAAACACUGUGGGCCAGCUGACAGAGAAAUCGGGGUAUUUGGUUCUGACCAUGCAGAACAUCAGUCCAUUCGAUCGGUUUGAUGCAUUCAAAUGGGACGAAAAUGGAAAAACAACUCUUCUAAAGAAUUUUACUCUUGAUGAAGUUCUCCCGACCUCUGCAACACCGGAUCUGACAGAUGAAGCACUCAACCCAAGCAUCACUCAGACAGCAAACAGCCAAAGAAAGGAUCCGACAGAGCCACGCAACAUGACUGACACUACUAGAGCACUCAUUGGAGUAGGAGUAGUAGUAGUAGUAGUAGUAGGAGUAGGAGUAGGAGUAGCUCUACUGGCAAGACGAGAUUUAAAAUCUGGACGAGAUGGAAGAAUUGCAAAGGCCAUCGCAUUUUUUAGAAGGAGAUUUUGC
Molecule: long non-coding RNA, 705 nt
Filed under: Sinocyclocheilus anshuiensis
Lineage: Eukaryota; Metazoa; Chordata; Actinopteri; Cypriniformes; Cyprinidae
Description: lncRNA (ENSSANG00000026384.1)
Source: RNAcentral